This 370-nucleotide ribosomal RNA is filed under the name uncultured Sulfobacillus sp. RNAcentral's name for it is "bacterial SSU rRNA". It matches the Rfam family "Bacterial small subunit ribosomal RNA", at positions 509 to 878 of the family's 1533-position model. Lineage: Bacteria; Bacillati; Bacillota; Clostridia; Eubacteriales; Clostridiales Family XVII. Incertae Sedis. The record is from RNAcentral.
CAGCCCGCCGCGGUAAGACGUAGGGGGCAAGCGUUGUCCGGAAUUACUGGGCGUAAAGGGCGUGUAGGCGGUGCGAUACGUAGCGGUUUUAAGCCUCCGGCUCACCCGGAGGAGGGCGGCUAAACGGUCGCACUGGAGGGCAGGAGAGGUGCGUGGAAUUCCUGGUGGAGCGGUGAAAUGCGUAGAGAUCAGGAAGAACACCAGUGGCGAAAGCGGCGCACUGGCCUGGCCCUGACGCUGAGGCGCGACAGCGUGGGGAGCAAACGGGAUUAGAUACCCCGGUAGUCCACGCCGUAAACGAUGGAUGCUAGGUGUCGUGGGGGUCCAUACUGCGGUGCCGGAGCUAACGCACUAAGUAGAACUUCUAUGA